Molecule: unclassified non-coding RNA, 323 nt
Filed under: soil metagenome
Description: partial contains 5.8S ribosomal RNA, internal transcribed spacer 2, and large subunit ribosomal RNA
Rfam family: 5.8S ribosomal RNA (bases 1-120)
Source: RNAcentral
GAUGAAGAACGCAGCGAAAUGCGAUAAGUAGUGUGAAUUGCAGAAUUCAGUGAAUCAUCGAAUCUUUGAACGCACAUUGCGCCCCUUGGUAUUCCAUGGGGCAUGCCUGUUCGAGCGUCAUUUGUACCUUCAAGCUUUGCUUGGUGUUGGGUGUUUGUCCUGAGGGACUCGCCUUAAAGUAAUUGGCAGCCAGUGUUUGGUUUUGAAGCGCAGCACAAGUCGCGAUUCAAAGCUAUACGCCCGCUUCCACAAGCCUUUUUCACUUUUGACCUCGGAUCAGGUAGGGAUACCCGCUCAACUUAAGCAUAUCAAUAAGCGGAGGA